Molecule: long non-coding RNA, 400 nt
Filed under: Triticum aestivum (bread wheat)
Lineage: Eukaryota; Viridiplantae; Streptophyta; Magnoliopsida; Poales; Poaceae
Description: long non-coding RNA (TAES_LNC015357)
Source: RNAcentral
AAAUCAACCAAUUCCAUUCUAUCACACAGUUGUCGUAUCUACUAUCACACAGUUCCUCAUUAUAGCCAUAACUCAUGCAUAAUUCCUAUCCUUUAUAGGCGUAAGAGUAUAAACUGUACACAGUUCCUCAUUGUAGCCAUAACUCAUGAAUAAUUCCUAUCCUUUAUAGGCGUCAGAGUAUAAACUGUGCGUGGCAGCUACCUACGUAAGUGGUGCUUGCCAUGCAAAUUCAGAAUUUUACCACUACUUCUAGAUGCCAGAGAAUGAGACACGUUAGUUGUUAUGGUCCGAUGAAAAUAUUGGAUCACUCGUCAAUGUGCGGCGCCUGCCCGAACUGAUCUCGCGACCUGCAGCUGCGACGAAACACACUGGGCAGCCUCGACGAGCCACACCUAACCGA